RNAcentral lists this ribosomal RNA (742 nucleotides) under uncultured bacterium. RNAcentral describes it as "bacterial SSU rRNA". It matches the Rfam family "Bacterial small subunit ribosomal RNA", at positions 8 to 796 of the family's 1533-position model. The record is from RNAcentral.
AGAGUUUGAUCCUGGCUCAGAACGAACGCUGGCGGCAUGCUUAAUACAUGCAAGUCGAACGAACUAUUUAUAGUUAGUGGCAGACGGGUGAGGAACGCGUGGGAACGUACCCUAAAGUUCGGAAUAACUAUUGGAAACGAUAGCUAAUACCGGAUGUGGCAGAGAUGCGAAAGGUUUACCGCUUUGGGAGCGGCCCGCGUUAGGUUAGCUAGUUGGUGGGGUAAAGGCCUACCAAGGCGAUGAUCUAUAGCUGGUCUGAGAGGAUGACCAGCCACACUGGGACUGAGACACGGCCCAGACUCCUACGGGAGGCAGCAGUGGGGAAUAUUAGACAAUGGGGGCAACCCUGAUCUUGCAAUGCCGCGUGAAUGAAGAAGGCCUUCGGGUUGUAAAGUUCUUUUAUUGAUGAAGAUAAUGACGGUAAUCAAUGAAUAAGCACCGGCUAUCUUCGUGCCAGCAGCCGCGGUAAUACGAAGGGUGCUAGCGUUGUUCGGAAUGACUGGGCGUAAAGGGUGUGUAGGCGGCCAGAUACGUUUGAUGUGAAAUCCCUGGGCUUAACCUAGGAACUGCAUUGAAUACGGUUUGGCUGGAGUCCGCGAGAGGAAGAUGGAAUUGUGCGUGUAGAGGUGAAAUUCGUAGAUAUGCACAAGAACACCGGUGGCGAAGGCGAUCUUCUGGAGCGGUACUGACGCUAAGGCACGAAAGUGUGGGGAGCAAACAGGAUUAGAUACCCUGGUAGUCC